Long non-coding RNA from Molossus molossus (Pallas's mastiff bat), 570 nucleotides. RefSeq lists it as uncharacterized. The transcript is spliced from 3 exons. The record is from RefSeq and is a predicted model, not a curated record. Lineage: Eukaryota; Metazoa; Chordata; Mammalia; Chiroptera; Molossidae.
GCCCGGAGCACGGCCCAGUAGAAGCCAGGGGCCAUGUGAUUUUGUCCAGAACCAUCUCUCAGCUUCUGAGUGUGAGAAGCCCCCAUUCUCCAGCCUCCUGGGUGCGGCGAGGCUGAGUCGGGGUAAAGGAGGAGAACUGCAGUGAGCCCUGGGACCGCUCUGUUUUGGAGAUUUGGCCAUAAAAGAAGUCUGAAACCACCCCUCUGAAGGAUGGCUGUCCACGCCUCUCGGAGGGCUGACAUUACGGGAUUCUAGAUAGAGGACUGGAAGAAGAAUGGCGGCUGGGAAAGACGCAAGCAUAAGACAAAGAAAUUCCUGCCAUAAAUAACUCCCUGGCCGAUCUCUCUUAAUCUCUGAAAGUUUAAAGAUUUAAAAUCUACUUAAACCAAAAAAAACCCCCGAAAACUGCAGUUCUCAGCAAAUAAAGAUUACUUUAAAUUUCAGGUUUGUUACACUCACAAAUCACCCAUACAGUACAUUCUAAAUAAAAAACGAAUAACUCUCUUUGUGAGAAGCGCCCCUUCCAGAGGCCACGUAUAAGGCAUUAACCUGCACUGGGGGAAAAUAAUA